AGUUGGUUCUGUGUUAUGGUUGAGACCUAUAAGCCAUAGAUGGUAGUUGAUCUGGACUGUAGGAACCUUGGAUCCAAUAGUUUCCAGGACAGAGGUGUGUGGUUCCACAUGCUUUGCUUUGUAGAGAUUAGGGUUAAGUGGCUUUUUUGAUUAUGGUUAUGAAAUUUCAACUGUUUAAAGCUAAAAUUUGUGAAGUUAUUUUCUUGUGCAAAUCAGAAAUUUCAGCUGCUUGAAGGUCAAAUCCAUAAAAAAUGCUUCGAUCAUAGUCGAAUGUGAAAGGUUCAGUGACCCCAUCAGGGACCAACACUCGAAUCGAGCCGAAGAGCCCGGAUUCUCUUUGCAUUCCAUAGUGUGCAUGGUAAAGAUAACAAGCUGUAUGAUAGCCAUGGCAUAUAUUGUUGUAUGCAAUGGAGAGCGUUCAAAUCACUGACCUGAUUCUGGAUGGAGCAGAACCAAAGUGAUCAAAGUGAUCUGCAUGUUAUCAUUUUUUGAUGAAAUUGAUGCUAUUUGCAAGGUACGUACCUUAUUAAACUUCCACUUCAAUGUACCUUAAUUUAUCCUUACUGUAAAUGGAGAGAGUAUCUUGCACUGGAUAUGGAUGAAUUUC
Molecule: long non-coding RNA, 607 nt
Organism: Magnolia sinica
Lineage: Eukaryota; Viridiplantae; Streptophyta; Magnoliopsida; Magnoliales; Magnoliaceae
Exons: 3
Source: RefSeq, a predicted model, not a curated record